RNAcentral lists this transfer RNA (64 nucleotides) under Stictopleurus subviridis. RNAcentral's name for it is "tRNA-Pro". The record is from RNAcentral. RNAcentral also lists the same sequence under 1 other name. Lineage: Eukaryota; Metazoa; Arthropoda; Insecta; Hemiptera; Rhopalidae.
CAGUAAAUAGUUUAUUAAAAAUAUUAAUUUUGGAGAUUAAUGAAGAAUUACUAUUCUUUACUGA